GGUGAAAUUCCAAUCGAACCCGGAGAUAGCUGGUUCUCCCCGAAAUAGCUUUAGGGCUAGCGUCGAGGUAAGUUGCGUGAAGGUAGAGCACUGAAUAUGUGAUGGCCCCAUCUCGGGGUACUGAGCAUAAUCAAACUGCGAAUGUCACGAUAACAUGCUCGGCAGUCAGACAGCGGGUGAUAAGGUCCGUUGUCAAGAGGGAAACAGCCCAGACCAUCAGCUAAGGUCCCAAAAUGUAUGCUAAGUGGAAAAGGAUGUGGAGAUGUACAGACAACUAGGAGGUUGGCUCAGAAGCAGCCAUCCUUUAAAGAGUGCGUAACAGCUCACUAGUCGAAUGACUCUGCGCCGAUAAUUUACCGGGGCUAAGCAUACUACCGAAGCUAUGGAUCCCAAGGGAUGGUAGGGGAGCGUUCCAUGAACGGAGAAGUACGACCGAAAGGACGUGUGGAGAUCAUGGAAGAGAGAAUGCCGGUGUGAGUAGCGGAACGUGGGUGAGAAUCCCACGCACCGAAAACCCAAGGUUUCCAGAGGAAGGUUCGUCCGCUCUGGGUAAGUCGGGACCUAAGGCGAGGCCGAAAGGCGUAGUCGAUGGACAACAGGUAGAGAUUCCUGUACCCGUAUAUAUGUGAAGGAAUGACGGAGAGAGGAAGCUGCAGCCAGCGGCUGGAAGAGCUGGUGCAAGCGAGAUAUCGGGAUGGCAGGCAAAUCCACCAUCCGAAACGAGAAGGCGUGAAGCGUACGGAAAGCUACGGCGAGUACGGAAGGCAGUGGAGGAACUUCCAAGAAAAGUUUCUAACGUUAAGUAUAUAUGGCCCGUACCGAAAAUGGACACACAUGGGUGAGGAGAGAAUCCUAAGGUGAGCGAGAGAACUAUAGCUAAGGAACUCUGCAAAAUGACUCCGUAACUUAGGGAGAAGGAGUGCUCAUAGAGAUAUGAGCCGCAGUGAAACGGCCCAAGCGACUGUUUACCAAAAACACAGCUCUCUGCUAAGCCGCAAGGCGAAGUAUAGGGGGUGACGCCUGCCCGGUGCUGGAAGGUUAAGGGGAGGGGUUAACGCAAGUGAAGCCCUGAACUGAAGCCCCAGUAAACGGCGGCCGUAACUAUAACGGUCCUAAGGUAGCGAAAUUCCUUGUCAGGUAAGUUCUGACCCGCACGAAAGGCGUAACGAUUUGGGCGCUGUCUCAGCUGUAGACUCGGUGAAGUCUUAGUACCUGUGAAGAUGCAGGUUACCCGCGACUAGACGGAAAGACCCCAUGGAGCUUCACUGCAGGUUGAUAUUGGGAUUUGAUGCAGCAUGUACAGGAUAGGUAGGAGGCAAAGAGAUGGAUACGCCAGUAUUCAAGGAGCCGCUGUUGGGAUACUACCCCUGUUGUAUUGGAUUUCUAACCGGACGACGUAGAGCCGUUGACGGGACAGUGUCAGUCGGGCAGUUUGACUGGGGCGGUCGCCUCCCAAAGAGUAACGGAGGCGCCCAAAGAUACCCUCAGCUUGGAUGGAAACCAAGCGCAGAGUGCAAAGGCAAAAGGGUGUUUGACUGCGAGACCCACAAGUCGAGCAGGGACGAAAGUCGGGCUUAGUGAUCCGGCGGUGCUGAAUGGAAAGGCCGUCGCUCAACGGAUAAAAGCUACCCUGGGGAUAACAGGCUGAUCUCCCCCAAGAGUUCACAUCGACGGGGAGGUUUGGCACCUCGAUGUCGGCUCAUCGCAUCCUGGAGCUGAAGUCGGUUCCAAGGGUUGGGCUGUUCGCCCAUUAAAGCGGUACGCGAGCUGGGUUCAGAACGUCGUGAGACAGUUCGGUCCCUAUCUGUCGUGGGCGCAGGAAAUUUGAGAAGAGCUGUCCUCAGUACGAGAGGACCGGGAUGGACGCAUCAAUGGUGGACCAGUUGUCACGCCAGUGGCAUAGCUGGGUAGCUAAAUGCGGAAGGGAUAAACGCUGAAGGCAUCUAAGUGUGAAACCCACUUCAAGAUGAGAUUUCCCAUUGCGCAAGCAAGUAAGACCCCUUAAAGACGAUAAGGUAGAUAGGUCAGGAGUGUAAGCAUGGUGACAUGUUAAGCGGACUGAUACUAAUAGGUCGAGGGCUUGACCGA
RNAcentral lists this ribosomal RNA (2088 nucleotides) under human gut metagenome. Its description in RNAcentral is "bacterial LSU rRNA". It matches the Rfam family "Bacterial large subunit ribosomal RNA", at positions 819 to 2925 of the family's 2925-position model. The record is from RNAcentral.